Molecule: ribosomal RNA, 548 nt
Filed under: uncultured Glomus
Lineage: Eukaryota; Fungi; Glomeromycota; Glomeromycetes; Glomerales; Glomeraceae
Description: SSU rRNA
Rfam family: Eukaryotic small subunit ribosomal RNA
Source: RNAcentral
UUGGAGGGCAAGUCUGGUGCCAGCAGCCGCGGUAAUUCCAGCUCCAAUAGCGUAUAUUAAAGUUGUUGCAGUUAAAAAGCUCGUAGUUGAAUUUCGGGAUCAAUAUAUCGGUCGUGCCUUGGUACGUACUGGUAUCAUUGGUUUCUCCUUUCUGACGAACCAUGAUGUCAUUAAUUUGGUGUUAUGGGAAGUUAGGACUGUUACUUUGAAAAAAUUAGAGUGUUUAAAGCAGGCUUUAGCUUGAAUACAUUAGCAUGGAAUAAUGAAAUAGGACGUUCGAACCUAUUUUGUUGGUUUCUAGGAUCAACGUAAUGAUUAAUAGGGAUAGUUGGGGGCAUUAGUAUUCAAUUGUCAGAGGUGAAAUUCUCGGAUUUAUUGAAGACUAACUACUGCGAAAGCAUUUGCCAAGGAUGUUUUCAUUAAUCAAGAACGAAAGUUAGGGGAUCGAAGACGAUCAGAUACCGUCGUAGUCUUAACCAUAAACUAUGCCGACUAGGGAUCGGAUGAUGUUAAUUCUUUAAUGACUCAUUCGGCGCCUUACGGGAAAC